RNAcentral lists this ribosomal RNA (548 nucleotides) under uncultured bacterium. RNAcentral's name for it is "bacterial SSU rRNA". It matches the Rfam family "Bacterial small subunit ribosomal RNA", at positions 356 to 896 of the family's 1533-position model. The record is from RNAcentral.
GGGGAAUUUUGGACAAUGGGCGCAAGCCUGAUCCAGCCAUGCCGCGUGUCUGAAGAAGGCCUUCGGGUUGUAAAGGACUUUUGUCAGGGAAGAAAAGGCUGUUGCUAAUAUCAGCGGCUGAUGACGGUACCUGAAGAAUAAGCACCGGCUAACUACGUGCCAGCAGCCGCGGUAAUACGUAGGGUGCGAGCGUUAAUCGGAAUUACUGGGCGUAAAGCGGGCGCAGACGGUUACUUAAGCAGGAUGUGAAAUCCCCGGGCUCAACCCGGGAACUGCGUUCUGAACUGGGUGACUCGAGUGUGUCAGAGGGAGGUAGAAUUCCACGUGUAGCAGUGAAAUGCGUAGAGAUGUGGAGGAAUACCGAUGGCGAAGGCAGCCUCCUGGGAUAACACUGACGUUCAUGCUCGAAAGCGUGGGUAGCAAACAGGAUUAGAUACCCUGGUAGUCCACGCCCUAAACGAUGUCAAUUAGCUGUUGGGCAACUUGAUUGCUUAGUAGCGUAGCUAACGCGUGAAAUUGACCGCCUGGGGAGUACGGUCGCAAGAUUA